This is a long non-coding RNA of Bos taurus (domestic cattle), 669 nucleotides long. Lineage: Eukaryota; Metazoa; Chordata; Mammalia; Artiodactyla; Bovidae. The record is from Ensembl.
GUAAGGCUUCCCAGAAGAAGUGGCAUUUGAGAAGCGCCUUCAAUAAGGACCAGUGUCAUCACUGGAAGUGGAACAAUUAGAAAGGGGGUUUGGAUCAGAUGUGUGAGAGUCUUCAAAUACCUGGCCUAGAAGUCAGGCCUCCGUCGUCCUCGUGCGUGUUUGGAAACGUUUACUGGUUCCUUGGUUUAUCGCGCUAUCUGAGUGGUUGGCCCUUCAGUGCCAGUGGAGCCAGCGGUGCACUAGGAUCUCCCGUUAGUGCCUUCAGGCCCGCCGGGAACCUUCCUCUGCACUGCCCUGAUCCCCAGGAGGCUGACCCAUGCAGACUGCAUCAGCUGGGGUGCUGGUUGUGUGUGUGCAUGCCCCGUCACGGAGUUGCGUCUGACCCUUUGUGACCCCAGGGACUGUAGCCCACCGGGCUCCUCUGUCCAUGGGGAUUUCCCAGAUGCAGAGUUCUAAGCCUGGGUCCCUGAAUCACCAUGUGGAGCGAAGCUGCCUGCCAACUAGAAUCACCAGCAUUGGAGCAUGGAGCUGACAUGUGUCCCUCAGGAGGAAGGUAGUGUCAAUAUGAUCUGCUGCUGGAUGAAGCUGAGAACUCACAUAGAAGAACAUACCUCCUUCUUCAAAACUAAGAAUAAGAUGCUCCCAGACUUCCACAGAGAUCUCAAAGGG